Molecule: long non-coding RNA, 436 nt
Filed under: Brassica napus (rape)
Lineage: Eukaryota; Viridiplantae; Streptophyta; Magnoliopsida; Brassicales; Brassicaceae
Description: long non-coding RNA (BNAP_LNC021056)
Source: RNAcentral
UUUGGGAAUAUGACAACUUCCUCGUCAUUCUAAUCAAAUCAGGAUGAAUCGCGAUGUAAGAAGCUGUAUUUGUAUACAAAAAGUAGUGGAUAAUCACCAGGAAGUGGAAUAAUUCUCAUAGGAAUUAGGAUGAAGAAGUUAUCCAACUUUCAAAUAAGGUGAUCUCAGUUUUCCUGUUUGGGAAUAUGACAACUUCCUCGUCAUUCUAAUCAAACCAGGAUGAAUCGCGAUGUAAGAAGAUGUAUUUGGAUACAUAAAGAAGUGGAGAAUCACCAGGAAGUGGAAUAAAUCUCAUAGGAAUUAGGAUGAAGAAGUUAUUCCACUUUCAAAUCAGGUGAUCCCAGUUUUCCUGUUUGGGAAUAUGACAACUUCCUCGUCAUUCUAAUCAAAUCAGGAUGAAUCGCGAUGUAAGAAGCUGUAUUUGUAUACAAAAAGU